Molecule: ribosomal RNA, 320 nt
Filed under: uncultured eukaryote
Lineage: Eukaryota
Description: partial 18S ribosomal RNA
Rfam family: Eukaryotic small subunit ribosomal RNA
Source: RNAcentral
CCCCUAGAUGUUCUGGGCCGCACGCGCGCUACACUGAACAGUUCAACAAGUCUUAACCUUGGCCGAUAGGUCUGGGUAAUCUUUGAACGCUGUUCGUGAUUGGGAUAGACCUUUGCAAUUAUGGGUCUUCAACGAGGAAUUCCUAGUAAACGCAAGUCAUCAGCUUGCAUUGAUUACGUCCCUGCUCUUUGUACACACCGCCCGUCGCACCUACCGAUUGAAUGGUCCGGUGAAAUCUCGGGACGGCGGCUUGGUCGCUUGCGUCCGACUGCUGAAACUUGAUUAAACCAUAUCAUUUAGAGGAAGGUGAAGUCGUAACA